Long non-coding RNA from Oncorhynchus keta (chum salmon), 8768 nucleotides. RefSeq lists it as uncharacterized. Lineage: Eukaryota; Metazoa; Chordata; Actinopteri; Salmoniformes; Salmonidae. The transcript is spliced from 2 exons. The record is from RefSeq and is a predicted model, not a curated record.
UAUAGGUUGAACUACAGAUUAUUCAUAGGGAAUUCCUGCUAUUUGGAUGCGGCUUAUCAUUACCUUGCAAUGUUGUUGAUGAUUUUAGGAAAUACAUGUUUUCCUCUGUCCUCCUCAGAACAGACCAGACAUAGAACAAAUAGACUGGAUUUCAGGCUAACAUUCCACUCCAAACAUAUUUGGCAUGACAAGGAGUGGGAUGUUCGCACAAACAAUGUUGAUUUCUAGACCCAGACACUAGAAACAUUCACCUCCACGCUAUUGAUUUAUUUCCGAAGCACUAUCAGUUAUGAUAUUUAUGGUCCAAAUAUAAUGUCAUAGAUAAGAAAGGAAAGCCAAAAAGGCACUUAUGAAACAACUAUUAAAGCACAAAACAUGAAGAGACUUUCAGAGUAAUCUCAGAAGUCAAAUAUGAUGAUGGUGACAAACAUAUCAGCGUCUUCUCACAAUCUACCAUUAGUUCGAUUUGAAGACUAUUGUAAGUUAAAUAUUGUGAUUAUAGACCAUUGUCUUCCCUCAGAUGGCGUAAUUCUAAUGCGACAAGCGCGUCCCGGAGAUAUCUGUUUAGCAAGUCGUGGAAGUCAUCUCUGAAAACAUUUUAUGCUCAUCUACCUAACACGACUGACUCGGGACCUCUACGGUAAAACAUCAGACUGACCCACUGGCUAGGGACUACUACAGGUAACCAUCAGACUGACCUACUAGCUAGGGACUACUACAGGUAGCCAUCAGACUGACCCACUGGCUAGGGACUACUACAGUAAACCAUCAGACUGACUCACUGGCGAGGGACUACUACAGGUAACCAUCAGACUGACCCACUGGCUAGGGACUACUACAGUAAACCAUCAGACUGAACCACUGGCUAGGGACUACUACAGUAAACCAUCAGACUGAACCACUGGCUAGGGACUACUACAGUAAACCAUCAGACUGAACCACUGGCUAGGGACUACUACAGUAAACCAUCAGACUGACCUACUGGCUAGGGACUACUACUGUAAACCAUCAGACUGACCCACUGGCUAGGGACUACUACUGUAAACCAUCAGACUGACCCUCUGGCUAGGGACUACUACUGUAAACCAUCAGACUGACCCACUGGCUAGGGACUACUACUGUAAACCAUCAGACUGAACCACUGGCUAGGGACUACUACAGUAAACCAUCAGACUGAACCACUGGCUAGGGACUACUACAGUAAACCAUCAGACUGAACCACUGGCUAGGGACUACUACAGUAAACCAUCAGACUGACCUACUGGCUAGGGACUACUACUGUAAACCAUCAGACUGACCCACUGGCUAGGGACUACUACAGGUAACCAUCAGACUGACUCACUGGCUUGGGACUACUACAGGUAACCAUCAGACUGACCCACUGGCUAGGGACUACUACAGGUAACCAUCAGACUGACUCACUGGCUUGGGACUACUACAGUAAACCAUCAGACUGACUCACUGGCUAGGGACUACUACAGGUAACCAUCAGACUGACUCACUGGCUAGGGACUACUACAGGUAACCAUCAGACUGAAGUACUACUACUGUAAACCAUCAGACUGACCCAGUGGCUAAGGACUAUGGCAAACCAUCAGACUGACCCACUGGCUAGGGACUACUACUGUAAACCAUCAGACUGACCCACUGGCUAGGGACUAACACUGUAAACCAUCAGACUGACCCACUGGCUAGGGACUACUACAGGUAAACAUCAGACUGACUCACUGGCUAGGGACUACUACAGUAAACCAUCAGACUGACCCACUGGCUAGGGACUACUACUGUAAACCAUCAGACUGACCCACUGGCUAGGGACUACUACAGGUAACCAUCAGACUGACUCACUGGCUAGGGACUACUACAGUAAACCAUCAGACUGACCCACUGGCUAGGGACUACUACAGGUAACCAUCAGACUGACUCACUGGCUAGGGACUACUACAGGUAACCAUCAGACUGACCCACUGGCUAGGGACUACUACAGGUAACCAUCAGACUGACCCACUGGCUAGGGACUACUACAGGUAACCAUCAGUCUGACUGACUGGCUAGGGACUUCUACUGUAAACCAUCAGACUGACUCACUGGCUAGGGACUACUACAGGUAACCAUCAGACUGACUCACUGGCUUGGGACUACUACAGGUAACCAUCAGACUGACUCACUGGCUUGGGACUACUACAGGUAACCAUCAGACUGACCUACUGGCUAGGGACUACUACAGUAAACCAUCAGACUGACCCACUGGCUAGGGACUACUACAGUAAACCAUCAGACUGACUCACUGGCUAGGGACUACUACUGUAAACCAUCAGACUGACCCACUGGCUAGGGACUACUACAGGUAACCAUCAGACUGACUCACUGGCUUGGGACUACUACAGGUAACCAUCAGACUGACCCACUGGCUGGGGACUACUACAGGUAACCAUCAGACUGACUCACUGGCUUGGGACUACUACAGUAAACCAUCAGACUGACUCACUGGCUAGGGACUACUACAGGUAACCAUCAGACUGACUCACUGGCUAGGGACUACUACAGGUAACCAUCAGACUGACUCACUGGCUUGGGACUACUACAGGUAACCAUCAGACUGACUUACUGGCUAGGGACUACUACUGUAAACCAUCAGACUGACCCACUGGCUAGGGACUACGACUGUAAACCAUCAGACUGACCCACUGGCUAGGGAAUACUACAGGUAACCAUCAGACUGACUUACUGGCUAGGGACUACUACUGUAAACCAUCAGACUGACCCACUGGCUAGGGACUACGACUGUAAACCAUCAGACUGACCCACUGGCUAGGGACUACUACAGGUAACCAUCAGACUGACCCACUGGCUAGGGACUACUACAGGUAACCAUCAGACUGACCUACUGGCUAGGGACUACUACAGUAAACCAUCAGACUGAACCACUGGCUAGGGACUACUACAGUAAACCAUCAGACUGACCUACUGGCUAGGGACUACUACAGUAAACCAUCAGACUGAACCACUGGCUAGGGACUACUACAGUAAACCAUCAGACUGAACCACUGGCUAGGGACUACUACAGUAAACCAUCAGACUGACCUACUGGCUAGGGACUACUACUGUAAACCAUCAGACUGACCCACUGGCUAGGGACUACUACUGUAAACCAUCAGACUGACCCUCUGGCUAGGGACUACUACUGUAAACCAUCAGACUGACCCACUGGCUAGGGACUACUACUGUAAACCAUCAGACUGAACCACUGGCUAGGGACUACUACAGUAAACCAUCAGACUGAACCACUGGCUAGGGACUACUACAGUAAACCAUCAGACUGAACCACUGGCUAGGGACUACUACAGUAAACCAUCAGACUGACCUACUGGCUAGGGACUACUACUGUAAACCAUCAGACUGACCCACUGGCUAGGGACUACUACAGGUAACCAUCAGACUGACUCACUGGCUUGGGACUACUACAGGUAACCAUCAGACUGACCCACUGGCUAGGGACUACUACAGGUAACCAUCAGACUGACUCACUGGCUUGGGACUACUACAGUAAACCAUCAGACUGACUCACUGGCUAGGGACUACUACAGGUAACCAUCAGACUGACUCACUGGCUAGGGACUACUACAGGUAACCAUCAGACUGAAGUACUACUACUGUAAACCAUCAGACUGACCCAGUGGCUAAGGACUAUGGCAAACCAUCAGACUGACCCACUGGCUAGGGACUACUACUGUAAACCAUCAGACUGACCCACUGGCUAGGGACUAACACUGUAAACCAUCAGACUGACCCACUGGCUAGGGACUACUACAGGUAAACAUCAGACUGACUCACUGGCUAGGGACUACUACAGUAAACCAUCAGACUGACCCACUGGCUAGGGACUACUACUGUAAACCAUCAGACUGACCCACUGGCUAGGGACUACUACAGGUAACCAUCAGACUGACUCACUGGCUAGGGACUACUACAGUAAACCAUCAGACUGACCCACUGGCUAGGGACUACUACAGGUAACCAUCAGACUGACUCACUGGCUAGGGACUACUACAGGUAACCAUCAGACUGACCCACUGGCUAGGGACUAAUACAGGUAACCAUCAGACUGACCCACUGGCUAGGGACUACUACAGGUAACCAUCAGUCUGACUGACUGGCUAGGGACUUCUACUGUAAACCAUCAGACUGACUCACUGGCUAGGGACUACUACAGGUAACCAUCAGACUGACUCACUGGCUUGGGACUACUACAGGUAACCAUCAGACUGACUCACUGGCUUGGGACUACUACAGGUAACCAUCAGACUGACCUACUGGCUAGGGACUACUACAGUAAACCAUCAGACUGACCCACUGGCUAGGGACUACUACAGUAAACCAUCAGACUGACUCACUGGCUAGGGACUACUACUGUAAACCAUCAGACUGACCCACUGGCUAGGGACUACUACAGGUAACCAUCAGACUGACUCACUGGCUUGGGACUACUACAGGUAACCAUCAGACUGACCCACUGGCUGGGGACUACUACAGGUAACCAUCAGACUGACUCACUGGCUUGGGACUACUACAGUAAACCAUCAGACUGACUCACUGGCUAGGGACUACUACAGGUAACCAUCAGACUGACUCACUGGCUAGGGACUACUACAGGUAACCAUCAGACUGAAGUACUACUACUGUAAACCAUCAGACUGACCCACUGGCUAGGGACUUCUACUGUAAACCAUCAGACUGACCCAGUGGCUAAGGACUAUGGCAAACCAUCAGACUGACCCACUGGCUAGGGACUACUACUGUAAACCAUCAGACUGACCCACUGGCUAGGGACUACUACUGUAAACCAUCAGACUGACCCACUGGCUAGGGACUACUACAGGUAAACAUCAGACUGACUCACUGGCUAGGGACUACUACAGUAAACCAUCAGACUGACCCACUGGCUAGGGACUACUACUGUAAACCAUCAGACUGACCCACUGUCUAGGGACUACUACUGUAAACCAUCAGACUGACCCACUGGCUAGGGACUACUACUGUAAACCAUCAGACUGACCCACUGGCUAGGGACUACUACUGUAAACCAUCAGACUGACCCACUGGCUAGGGACUUCUACUGUAAACCAUCAGACUGACCCACUGGCUAGGGACUUCUACUGUAAACCAUCAGACUGACCCACUGGCUAGGGACUACUACAGUAAACCAUCAGACUGACCCACUGUCUAGGGACUUCUACUUCUACUCUACCCAUAGGGCGACGGACAAUUGGCUCAGCGUCUUUAGGGUUUGGCUAGGGUAGGCCGUCAUUGUAAAUAAGAAUUUGUUCUUAACUGACUUGCCUAUUUAAAUCAAGUUUACAUUUAAACAAUUUAAUAAAUGCAAAUUCAUAUGGAUUGAUUGGAGACUGGCUUGUCCGCAUUUCAAAUGUAAUGAUACGGAUUCUAAAACGACAAUAGUCCUUAGCUACACAGUACCAUUCAAAGAUUGGAGACACCUUCUCAUUCCAGGGUUUUUCUUUAUUUUUUACUAUUUUCUACAUUGUAGAAUAAUCGUGAAGACAUCAAAACUAUGAAACAACACAUGUGGAAUAAUGUUGUACCAAAAAAAGUUUUAAAUCAAAACAGAGAUUCUUUAAAGUAGCCAUCCUUUGCCUUGAUGACAGCUUUGCACACUCUUGGCAUUCUUUCAAUCAGCUUCAUGAGGUAGUCACCUGGAAUGCAUUUCAAUUCAAUUGUGGAAUUUAUUUCCUUCUUAAUGUGUUGGAGCCAAUUAGUUGUGUUCUGACAUGUUAGGGUUGGUAUACAGAAGAUAGCCCUAUUUGGUAAAAGACCAAGUCCAUAUUAUGGCAAGAACAGCUCAAAUAAGCAAAGAGAAAUGACAGUCCAUCAUUACUUUAAGAUAUGAAGGUCAGUCAAUUAAAGUUUCUUCAAGUGCAGUUACAAAAACCAUCAAGCGCUAUGAUGAAACUGGCUCUCAUGAGGACCGCCACAGGAAAGGAAGACCCAGAGUUACCUCUGCUGCAGAGGAUAAGUUCAUUAGAGUUACCUCUGCUGCAGAGGAUAAGUUCAUUAGAGUUACCUCUGCUGCAGAGGAUAAGUUCAUUAGAGUUACCUCUGCUGCAGAGGAUAAGUUCAUUAGAGUUACCUCUGCUGCAGAGGAUAAGUUCAUUAGAGUUACCUCUGCUGCAGAGGAUAAGUUCAUUAGAGUUACCUCUGCUGCAGAGGAUAAGUUUAUUAGAGUUACCUCUGCUGCAGAGGAUAAGUUCAUUAGAGUUACCUCUGCUGCAGAGGAUAAGUUCAUUAGAGUUACCAGCCUCAGAAAUUGCAGCCCAAAUAAAUGCUUCACAGAGUUCAAGUAACAGACACAUCUCAACAUCAACUGUUCAGAAGAGACUGUGUGAAUCAGGCCUUCAUGGUCAAAUUGCUGCAAAGAAACAACUACUAAAGGACAUCAAUAAACACAAUCAAUGGACGUUAGACCAGUGGAAAUCUGUCUGAUUGCAAAUUUGAGAUUUUUGGUUCCAAUAUUGGUGUCUGUGAGACUCAGAGUAGGUGAACGGAUGAUCUCUGCAUGUGUGGGUCCCACUGUGAAGCAUGGAGGAGGAGGUGUUUGGCCAAGAAGGAGAGUGAUGGGAGUGCUGCAUCAGAUGACCUGGCCUCCACAAUCACCUGACCUCAACCCAAUUGAGAUGUUUUGGGAUGAGUUGGACCGCAGAGUGUUGGAAAAGCGGCCAACAAGUGGUCAGCAUAUAUGUGAACUCCUUCAAGACUGUUGGAAAAGCAUUCCAGGUGAAGCUGGUUGAGAGAAACUGUCAUCAAGGCAAAGAAUCUCUAUAAUAUAUAUAAUAUAUUUUCAUUUGUUUUACUUUUUUUGUUACUACAUGAUUCCAUAUGUGUUAUUUCAUAGUUUUGAUGUCUUCACUAUUAUUCUACAAUGUAGAAAAUUGUAACAAUUAAAGUAAAACUUGAAUGAGUAGGUGUGUCCAAACAUUUCACUGGUACUGUAUAGAAUUAGGUAGUUAUAACUUGCUGAUGUCAAAAUUAGCUACAGAUGUGUAACAUUUUCUAAUCUCAUGACAGUGUAUUGUAGCACAACUCCUUUUUUUUUUAUCAAUCCCACUAAGGUUUGCAUGUUAUCGAACAGAUCGGUGCAGACAGCCGUAAUCUGACGUUAAGACAACGGAUAAUAGACCAGAUGAAUGGCUACUUAGAAACAGAAUGCCAACUGUCUUCUGAUGUUCUAAAUAAGCACAUACUUUACCGCAGCUGGCAGUUACACUGAACAAGCCUUAAAAUAGUAGUGUGUGCUAUUAUUAUCAUUAUGCAUUAUUUAAUAAGGAUUACUUUGGUGUUUACACAUUAAUAAUCCCAAAUCUAACAACGACUGUAUUGCCAGUUAAUUAACACUCUUAACUGUAUUCCAAAUGGCACUCUAUUCCUUAUUUAGUGUACUCCCUUUGACCAGGGCCCUUAGCAUUCUCUAUCUCACUCACUGAAUCAGAAUUGUUAUUAUUAAAACACUAAUCAUGGCACCUGGAGACCCAACGAUAAUGAUAUCCAUGUAUUCUUAUUGUUAUGGGGAUUAUAAUGAUAGGCCUCAUCCAUCUCUUUCACUGUGGCUACAUGGGGAUACUUUCACUCCUCUGUUGGGUUUAAGGCAGCACCAUAACCCACACCUCUGAAAUAUGCAUCGUUUCUAUGGCUUGUUAUUCACAGUAUGUAGAAUGUAGCUUUGUACAAAGCCUUUUACAGGAAUGCUUUUUGUAUUCUUUUUUUGUCCCUUAAUACUUCACUAUUAUACAUUUUUACUAGUUUUUUGCUAAUUAUUUUAAACAAAUAUAUAUGAAUAUAUAGAUAUUAGUCGUUCCUUUUUUUUUAUUUGAUUGGACACAUGCUAGUUGAAUGUUUGUUUUUAACGAUUGUUUAUUUGUUCUGAGACUUAAGGUGUUGCCUGGGAAAACAACUGAACACCAACACACAUGGCAUAUGUCCUUACAUGACAUUACUUCAUCUAACUGUAUUGUGAUUUUGUUCAAAGAGAGUAAGCUUUGAUAAAAAAAAAUAUAUAUAUAUAUAUAAUUUCAAAGACCAGACUCUUGUUUAUGUUCCAGUACCGGUUCUAGCCGGUUCCAGAUUAUUUGAUUAGCACCUUGUGAAGUGUUCUCAAUGUCUGUGAUGUAAUUUAUUAAUGUUUUUAUACUUGUACAAUUCUUAAGAGUUUUGUUUUUGGAUAUUUUAUCAGCGUGUGAAUUAACCCCCCCCUCCUACUUAGCGAGUUAGUUCCACUAUGUUUAUGACAUCAGUAUGUUUUCAGACACUGUGUGGUCAUUACACUUAGCAUAGUUAAAAUAAUGUUUUUGUUAGUUUUUUCAUAUUAUUAUUUUCAUAUGGUUUCUAACAUCUCAGUCUGUCCUCAUCAGUCAAGAUGUUACAAAUGUUAUUAUUAUUAUUGUUAUUAUUGAGAAGCUAUGUCCAAUAACCAUCAUGCCAUUGAUUUUAUUUUUCUAUAAAACAUGAGGAUUAUUCUGUUCAUUUUUCCAUAAGGUUCGUGUGCUGAUUGAUAGCAGUCUUUUAGUCCCAUGUAAAUGAUGUCACAAUACGACACUCAGAUCAAACUGUCUUUCAACGGAACUCGUUUCAUUUCUACCUGAAUACAGUAUCUUUGUUGUGUGUUUUUGUAUGUCCAACCUAUUAAAUGUAUACACUGUUGUCAAAUGACUACAACCUUUAUCCUUGUUGACUUUGCAAUACAAUAUUGUCUAAACCAG